Esox lucius (northern pike) is the source of this 1443-nucleotide long non-coding RNA. RefSeq lists it as uncharacterized. Lineage: Eukaryota; Metazoa; Chordata; Actinopteri; Esociformes; Esocidae. The record is from RefSeq and is a predicted model, not a curated record. The transcript has 3 exons.
CCAUCGCAUGCUUUUGUUUUGAAGGCAAAAUACGAAAACCGGAGGUCUUAUUGCUGAUGCCGAAUCUCUAUUGUUGCCUGCAUGACUCUAAUCCAUUGUAGCUAUCGAGUUGUGUAUAGCCUGAUUUAUGCUUCGGCGGGUCUUGCAUUGUUAAUGUCAUGUGCGUCUGUACGCAGACGUGCUUUUCAUUUAUAGUUGUGCGGCCUUGUUGUGUAGAUGGCCAUUACACUUCUUAGCACUAGGCGGCGAUAUCGCGCAAAACGUUGGUUUUUUCGCUUGUAAAUCAGGAAAGCUUCACAGAAGAAGUAACUGUAUAGUUGGUAAACAAUAUAAUAAGCUGUUUCUCAAUGUCAAGGAAGGAUCCUUCGAAGCCAGAAUUUGGAGGAUGCUACGUCAUCGACGUCCGUCGAAGGACCAUUCCAAUGUCGAGGAUCCUCCGAUUCCUACCAAGGACUGAGUCCUUUGUUCGGCGAAUUUCCCAUAGACGGCAAAGGAUGCAUAUGUCCACGCACUUCACGCAAUCCUGUUUCAGGGGACCGUUGCUAUCGCUCCACCUGCAAACAUUCCUGGGAUAGGAGUCACCAUCCCCAUGUCAUCGUUGGAGAUGCUGCUUUUCCGUUGCAUGUAAAUCUGAUGUAGCCCUUUCAAAGUGGCAAUCUGAACAAAAGCAAGAGGACCUACAACUAUCAACAUUCAUGGGCCAGACGUGUGAUUGAGAACUAAUUUGGUAUGACGGUCGCAUGGUGGAGAAUUCUAGGCAGACCGUCAGAAUUCCUACCAGACAAAUGUGCACAUGUUGUGAAGGCCUGUGCUGCACUGCACAACUAUCUGGCCUAUACAGAUGCUGCCAACACACCUGCAACAAAGUAUAUACCACCUAAUUUGAAAGACUCUUUUGAACAAUGGCGAGGCACAGCCAGGGAGUGGAGAAGACAGAUCACAGAGGGAGGCAUCUUGGCUGAUGCAGGGAGAGCCUCUGGGCUGCUGUUGGAGUCUGCAAUGACCUAAUGAGGUUUUUCAUGUGCCAUGGCAGGAUACAGUGCUGAGGGCUAGCCUACUGAACUCUCAGUGAAUUAUGGACAUACACAAUUAAAGAACCUCUUUAUUUUGUUAAAUAUUUGUAUGUACAAUUGUAAGUGUAACAAAGUAUUACAAACAGUGAAAAGAGCAGACUACAUAGAACUUAUUUAAAAUGCAAAGAAAGUGCAUUUAAGUAUUUUGUUCAAACAUGCACUUUCUCUGCAAUUUAAAUUUAAAGAAAAAUCUAAUUAAACUAUUGAAUCAAAUAACUCAAAAGGUCAACAUCCAUGAAGUAUGCAAAUUAUUUUGACUCAAACCACAAACAAAAGGUAUUUAUUCACUUUGAAAAAGAUUACUUUAGCCACAUUGGUGUGUGUAUUCAGUGUCUUCUCAAAUAAAAGCUGGAUGGAUUUUGAACUUGGA